ACUGAACGCUGGCGGCGUGCUUAACACAUGCAAGUCGAACGCGAACGUCACUUCGGUGGCUAGUAGAGUGGCGAACGGGUGAGUAACACGUGGACAACCUGCCCGGAUGUGGGGGACAACUUUUGGAAACGGAAGCUAAUACCGCAUUCGCACGGAGAUCGCAUGGUCUCCGUGGAAAGACCGCCUCUUCUUGAAAGCGGUCGCAUCCGGAGGGGUCCGCGGCUGAUUAGCUAGUCGGUGGGGUAACGGCCUACCGAGGCGACGAUCAGUAGCCGGCCUGAGAGGGCGAUCGGCCACACUGGAACUGAGACACGGUCCAG
RNAcentral lists this ribosomal RNA (320 nucleotides) under uncultured bacterium. Its description in RNAcentral is "bacterial SSU rRNA". It matches the Rfam family "Bacterial small subunit ribosomal RNA", at positions 30 to 334 of the family's 1533-position model. The record is from RNAcentral.